RNAcentral lists this unclassified non-coding RNA (253 nucleotides) under uncultured Moraxellaceae bacterium. Its description in RNAcentral is "contains 16S-23S intergenic spacer region". It matches the Rfam family "Bacterial small subunit ribosomal RNA", at positions 524 to 776 of the family's 1533-position model. Lineage: Bacteria; Pseudomonadati; Pseudomonadota; Gammaproteobacteria; Moraxellales; Moraxellaceae. The record is from RNAcentral.
UACAGAGGUUGCGAGCGUUAAUCGGAUUUACUGGGCGUAAAGCGUGCGUAGGCAGCUUUUUAAGUCGUAUGUGAAAUCCCCUAGCUUAACUUGGGAAUUGGAUUCGAUACUGGGAGGCUAGAGUAUGGGAGAGGAUGGUAGAAUUCAAGGUGUAGUGGUGAAAUGCGUAGAGAUCUGGAGGAAUACCGAUGGCGAAGGCAGCCAUCUGGCCUAAUACUGACGCUGAGGUACGAAAGCAUGGGGAGCAAACAGG